UACGUAGGGUGCAAGCGUUGUCCGGAAUUAUUGGGCGUAAAGAGCUCGUAGGCGGUUUGUCGCGUCGGCUGUGAAAACUCGGGGCUCAACCCCGAGCCUGCAGUCGAUACGGGCAGACUAGAGUGCGGUAGGGGAGACUGGAAUUCCUGGUGUAGCGGUGAAAUGCGCAGAUAUCAGGAGGAACACCGGUGGCGAAGGCGGGUCUCUGGGCCGUAACUGACGCUGAGGUGCGAAAGCGUGGGGAGCAAACAGG
RNAcentral lists this ribosomal RNA (253 nucleotides) under uncultured bacterium. RNAcentral's name for it is "partial 16S ribosomal RNA". It matches the Rfam family "Bacterial small subunit ribosomal RNA", at positions 524 to 776 of the family's 1533-position model. The record is from RNAcentral.